AGCGCCCCGCAAGGGGAGCGGCAGACGGGUGAGUAACGCGUGGGAAUCUACCGAGCCCUACGGAAUAACGCAUGGAAACGUGUGCUAAUACCGUAUACGCCCUACGGGGGAAAGAUUUAUCGGGGUUUGAUGAGCCCGCGUUGGAUUAGCUAGUUGGUGGGGUAAAGGCCUACCAAGGCGACGAUCCAUAGCUGGUCUGAGAGGAUGAUCAGCCACAUUGGGACUGAGACACGGCCCAAACUCCUACGGGAGGCAGCAGUGGGGAAUAUUGGACAAUGGGCGCAAGCCUGAUCCAGCCAUGCCGCGUGAGUGAUGAAGGUCUUAGGAUUGUAAAGCUCUUUCACCGGAGAAGAUAAUGACGGUAUCCGGAGAAGAAGCCCCGGCUAACUUCGUGCCAGCAGCCGCGGUAAUACGAAGGGGGCUAGCGUUGUUCGGAAUUACUGGGCGUAAAGCGCACGUAGGCGGAUAUUUAAGUCAGGGGUGAAAUCCCAGAGCUCAACUCUGGAACUGCCUUUGAUACUGGGUAUCUAGAGUAUGGAAGAGGUGAGUGGAAUUCCGAGUGUAAAGGUGAAAUUCGUAGAUAUUCGGAGGACACCAGUG
RNAcentral lists this ribosomal RNA (600 nucleotides) under alpha proteobacterium SA10T. RNAcentral's name for it is "bacterial SSU rRNA". It matches the Rfam family "Bacterial small subunit ribosomal RNA", at positions 65 to 714 of the family's 1533-position model. The record is from RNAcentral. Lineage: Bacteria; Pseudomonadati; Pseudomonadota; Alphaproteobacteria.